AAUCCAUAGGUUAAUGAGGCGAACCGGGGGAACUGAAACAUCUAAGUACCCCGAGGAAAAGAAAUCAACCGAGAUUCCCCCAGUAGCGGCGAGCGAACGGGGAGGAGCCCAGAGCCUGAAUCAGCAUGUGUGUUAGUGGAAGCGUCUGGAAAGGCGCGCGAUACAGGGUGACAGCCCCGUACACAAAAGCGCAUGUGCUGUGAGCUCGAUGAGUAGGGCGGGACACGUGGUAUCCUGUCUGAAUAUGGGGGGACCAUCCUCCAAGGCUAAAUACUCCUGACUGACCGAUAGUGAACCAGUACCGUGAGGGAAAGGCGAAAAGAACCCCGGCGAGGGGAGUGAAAAAGAACCUGAAACCGUGUACGUACAAGCAGUGGGAGCCCCACCACCAAAGCAUUUGCUGUACCGCGUUGACGGAGCGAAGC
Molecule: ribosomal RNA, 425 nt
Filed under: Salmonella enterica subsp. enterica serovar Enteritidis
Lineage: Bacteria; Pseudomonadati; Pseudomonadota; Gammaproteobacteria; Enterobacterales; Enterobacteriaceae
Description: partial 23S ribosomal RNA
Rfam family: Bacterial large subunit ribosomal RNA
Source: RNAcentral